Molecule: non-coding RNA, 365 nt
Organism: Pelobates cultripes (western spadefoot toad)
Lineage: Eukaryota; Metazoa; Chordata; Amphibia; Anura; Pelobatidae
Source: the annotation of a GenBank genome assembly
CUGUAGAGAUGGAGGGAAGAGGUGGAUCUUCCCUUUAGUUUCCAGAAACUUCCACAAACAUGCAGUUGAGCAUUCAUUGAGCACAUGCACUUCAUACAAACUGGAUUAACCUGUAGCAAAUUUAUUUUAACCCCUUAAGGACAGCUUCAGAAGCUUGUUUUACACUUCAAACACAAUUUUCAUCUCUCUCAAUUAUUGUACCAACACAUAUUAUAUACCUUUUUUAGAGGGCAAACAGAGCUUUAAUUUGAUGUCACAUAUACAUAGAUACAUUCUCAUUAAUUAUAAAUAAAAUGCCAAACAAUUGGGGGGGGUGGAAUAAUUUUUUUUCCACAGUUUUGGCAAUAAUAGCGUGUGCAUAUGUC